Molecule: microRNA precursor, 86 nt
Filed under: Solanum tuberosum (potato)
Lineage: Eukaryota; Viridiplantae; Streptophyta; Magnoliopsida; Solanales; Solanaceae
Description: MIR8024 microRNA precursor family
Rfam family: MIR8024 microRNA precursor family
Source: Rfam by way of RNAcentral
UUGGAGGAUUUGAGGACUUCAACUUACAAACUUGACAAAUUUGAAGACAUCAACUUGCAUAUUUUGAGGAAUUGAAGACUUCAACU